This 253-nucleotide ribosomal RNA is filed under the name uncultured bacterium. RNAcentral's name for it is "partial 16S ribosomal RNA". It matches the Rfam family "Bacterial small subunit ribosomal RNA", at positions 524 to 776 of the family's 1533-position model. The record is from RNAcentral.
UACGGAGGGUGCAAGCGUUGUUCGGAUUCACUGGGCAUAAAGGGCGCGUAGGCGGUUCGGUAAGCGGCGUGUGAAAGCCCCUGGCUCAACCAGGGAAGUGCACGCCGGACUGCCGUUCUAGAGGGUGGUAGGGGGGACUGGAACUCUCGGUGGAGCGGUGAAAUGCGUAGAUAUCGAGAGGAACACCGGUGGCGAAGGCGAGUCCCUGGUCCACAUCUGACGCUGAGACGCGAAAGCGUGGGGAGCAAACAGG